Molecule: ribosomal RNA, 253 nt
Filed under: uncultured bacterium
Lineage: Bacteria
Description: partial 16S ribosomal RNA
Rfam family: Bacterial small subunit ribosomal RNA
Source: RNAcentral
UACGUAGGGUGCGAGCGUUAAUCGGAAUUACUGGGCGUAAAGCGUGCGCAGGCGGCGCGUUAAGACAGGUGUGAAAGCCCCGAGCUUAACUUGGGAAUUGCGCUUGUGACUGGCGUGCUGGAGUGUGGCAGAGGGAGGUGGAAUUCCACGUGUAGCAGUGAAAUGCGUAGAUAUGUGGAGGAAUACCGAUGGCGAAGGCAGCCCCCUGGGAUAACACUGACGCUCAUGCACGAAAGCGUGGGGAGCAAACAGG